Molecule: unclassified non-coding RNA, 240 nt
Filed under: soil metagenome
Description: partial contains 5.8S ribosomal RNA, internal transcribed spacer 2, and large subunit ribosomal RNA
Source: RNAcentral
AACCUUAUGGACCUGCGGGCGUAUACCUGCGGAAGGAUCAUUACUGUGUUAGGGUAGUCACUCACUGCCCGACCUCCCAACCCUGUGUCUACCAUACUUUGUCGUUGCUUCGGCGGACCGGUUGACCAACUGGUCGUGACCGCCGGGGGCUGGCUCUGUCACCCCUGGAGAGCGUCCGCCGAUGGCCCAACCACAAAACUCUUGUACCGAAACGUGUCGUCUGAAUUAUAUUUGAGAAAU